AGUGAACGCUGGCGGUAGGCCUAACACAUGCAAGUCGAACGGCAGCACAGUAAGAGCUUGCUCUUACGGGUGGCGAGUGGCGUACGGGUGAGGAAUACAUCGGAAUCUACUUUUUCGUGGGGGAUAACGUAGGGAAACUUACGCUAAUACCGCAUACGACCUACGGGUGAAAGCAGGGGAUCUUCGGACCUUGCGCGAUUGAAUGAGCCGAUGUCGGAUUAGUUAGUUGGGGGGGUAAGGGCCCACCAAGGGGACGAUCCGGAGCUGGUCUGAGAGGAUGAUCGGCCACACUGGAACUGAGACACGGUCCAGACUCCUACGGGAGGCAGCAGUGGGGAAUAUUAGACAAUGGGCGCAAGCCUGAUCCAGCCAUACCGCGUGGGUGAAGAAGGCCUUCGGGUUGUAAAGCCCUUUUGUUGGGAAAGAAAAGCAGCAGGUUAAUACCCCGCUGUUCUGACGGUACCCAAAGAAUAAGCACCGGCUAACUUCGUG
RNAcentral lists this ribosomal RNA (492 nucleotides) under uncultured bacterium. RNAcentral describes it as "partial 16S ribosomal RNA". It matches the Rfam family "Bacterial small subunit ribosomal RNA", at positions 29 to 507 of the family's 1533-position model. The record is from RNAcentral.